GAAAGACUAGGGAUGACAUCCAGUGGAAGCGAGAGGCCAUCUUUAAGACUGUCAUAAAGGACAGACAAGAAGAAGAGCAGAGGUCAAGAGGCUAGAUAAACAACUUCCUACAGCUGCUACGACAUCGGGUGCGCAUCCGCAGCAGAAAGUGUGUGCCGUGGAGAUAAACACAUCAGUUUUUAUGAUGCUGCCAGAAGUCUUCUCCCAUUUGCCUCAACUCAGUCUUCAGGGAAUCCCUCACUGCUCUCUGAAAGAUCUGGGAGAAUUGGAUGUAGAGUCCAGCCUGCCAUGAGUGUCCUACCAAGGCCUUUGCUUCUAAAGCAUGCUGAAGUUCCAGGCUCCUGCCAACAGUUUGCUUUAUUUCUGCUCAGUGAGAAUAAACGUCUGUUACACGGGUUCUCAGACAGACACAUCUUGUACUAAAUUCUACUCCUUAUAUCAGUUUCCACUGUGCAUCUGUUGUUAUCUUCUUCUCUCAAGACCAACCCAGACUACCACCAAGAUGAGCCUUUUGGGCUCAUACCCACGGUCUGCAAAGUGUAAUAAAUAUGUGAUGUGUAUGUAACAUGUCUUGAGCCUGGCAUGACUGGCCUCUCUGUUCUGCAUCUACCACCAACAUCCCAGGAGAAAAACGCUAAGCACCUUGUCUAGGGUCUCAAAGAUAGCAAGUGCCUGAGUCACAGACUCUGGCUCCAGAGC
This 699-nucleotide long non-coding RNA is filed under the name Cricetulus griseus (Chinese hamster). Its description in RNAcentral is "lncRNA (ENSCGRG00015034117.1)". Lineage: Eukaryota; Metazoa; Chordata; Mammalia; Rodentia; Cricetidae. The record is from RNAcentral.